This 75-nucleotide transfer RNA is filed under the name Bacillota bacterium. Its description in RNAcentral is "tRNA-Val". It matches the Rfam family "tRNA". From Rfam's summary of the family: Transfer RNA (tRNA) molecules are approximately 80 nucleotides in length. Their secondary structure includes four short double-helical elements and three loops (D, anti-codon, and T loops). Further hydrogen bonds mediate the characteristic L-shaped molecular structure. tRNAs have two regions of fundamental functional importance: the anti-codon, which is responsible for specific mRNA codon recognition, and the 3' end, to which the tRNAs corresponding amino acid is attached (by aminoacyl-tRNA synthetases). tRNAs cope with the degeneracy of the genetic code in two manners: having more than one tRNA (with a specific anti-codon) for a particular amino acid; and 'wobble' base-pairing, i.e. permitting non-standard base-pairing at the 3rd anti-codon position. The record is from RNAcentral. RNAcentral also lists the same sequence under 1 other name. Lineage: Bacteria; Bacillati; Bacillota.
GGGGGUUUAGCUCAGCGGAAGAGCGCACGGUUCACAUCCGUGAGGUCACUGGUUCAAGCCCAGUAACCCCCACCA